Molecule: ribosomal RNA, 496 nt
Filed under: uncultured bacterium
Lineage: Bacteria
Description: bacterial SSU rRNA
Rfam family: Bacterial small subunit ribosomal RNA
Source: RNAcentral
AAAGGAAUAGACGGGGACCCGCACAAGCGGUGGAGCAUGUGGUUUAAUUCGAAGCAACGCGAAGAACCUUACCAGGCCUUGACAUCCCUCCGCCAUCGCUAGAGAUAGUGAGUUCCCUUUUGGGGACGGAGGAGACAGGUGGUGCAUGGUUGUCGUCAGCUCGUGUCGUGAGAUGUUGGGUUAAGUCCCGCAACGAGCGCAACCCUCGUCGUUAGUUGCCAGCAUUAAGUUGGGGACUCUAACGAGACUGCCAGUGACAAACUGGAGGAAGGUGGGGAUGACGUCAAAUCAUCAUGCCCCUUAUGGCCUGGGCUACACACGUGCUACAAUGGGUGGUACAAAGGGAGGCGAAGCCGCGAGGCGGAGCGAAACCCAAAAAGCCACUCUCAGUUCGGAUUGCAGGCUGCAACUCGCCUGCAUGAAGCCGGAAUCGCUAGUAAUCGCGAAUCAGCAUGUCGCGGUGAAUACGUUCCCGGGUCUUGUACACACCGCCCGU